RNAcentral lists this ribosomal RNA (514 nucleotides) under uncultured bacterium. Its description in RNAcentral is "partial 16S ribosomal RNA". It matches the Rfam family "Bacterial small subunit ribosomal RNA", at positions 28 to 523 of the family's 1533-position model. The record is from RNAcentral.
GAUGAACGCUGGCGGCGUGCCUAAUACAUGCAAGUCGAGCGAACAGAUGAGAAGCUUGCUUCUCUGAUGUUAGCGGCGGACGGGUGAGUAACACGUGGGUAACCUACCUAUAAGACUGGGAUAACUCCGGGAAACCGGGGCUAAUACCGGAUAAUAUUUUGAACCGCAUGAUUCAAUAGUGAAAGACGGUUUCGGCUGUCACUUAUAGAUGGACCCGCGCAGUAUUAGCUAGUUGGUAAGGUAACGGCUUACCAAGGCGACGAUACGUAGCCAACCUGAGAGGGUGAUCGGCCACACUGGAACUGAGACACGGUCCAGACUCCUACGGGAGGCAGCAGUAAGGAAUCGUCCGCAAUGGGCGAAAGCCUGACGAAGCAACGUCGCGUGGUUGAUGAAGGUCUUCGGAUCGUAAAACUCUGUUGUUAGGGAAGAACAAAUUUGUAAGUAACUGAACAAGUCUUGACGGUACCUAACCAGAAAGCCACGGCUAACUACGUGCCAGCCGCCGCCGUAA